Molecule: unclassified non-coding RNA, 875 nt
Filed under: Zea mays
Lineage: Eukaryota; Viridiplantae; Streptophyta; Magnoliopsida; Poales; Poaceae
Description: misc RNA Zm00001eb426340
Source: RNAcentral
CUUAUAUGAACUGAAAUUCAGGGUGGAGUCAGAAGCUGAAGGUGACCAGCCUUUGCCGAUGGAUAUGGAUCAUAUCGGGGAAAAUGAUGAUGAUGAAUUUCAGGAUCAAAACAAGGAUCACAAAAUAGGUGAAAGAGGGAGUAAGGGGGCGAGCUUGAAGGGAACAUCAAAGGAUUCAGCAGGGGCAGUUAACAAGGUUUCGGAUUCUAUGCUGAACAGCAACACGACCAGUGGGAAAUCGGUGUGCGCUGGCCAUACACAGCUGGAUCUGGAACAAUCUCAGGGCACCAGUCUCUCGGUCAAUGCUGUUAGUAUUGAAAAGUUGGGCAGUAUCCCGGAGGCGUUGUCAGGAACAGUGCAAGCACUGCGUCGUAGCUCGCGCCGCUCAGAUUCGGUGAGUGAAGACUCGCUUGUUCGAGCAGUACGGCUGAAAGCGGGAUACAACCUGGACGACCAGCCGACUAAAGGUAACAAUGUUUCCUUUAUUAGUUUACCCGAUAAUUAUAUUCUUGAUUCUUUUAAAAAUAUUGGCAUUUUAGCGGGUUCUAAUCCUAGUUUAGUUGCUUCCUCUAUUGGUCAGUUGAAAAAAUUAGAGAUUAAUAGAGUUCAGGAUCAGCUAGUGGGUAAGAACAAGGCUGAAUUAUCUGAUUUUAUGGGGAAGGGAGUAGUAGAGGACGAAGAGUUUGAUCAUUUCAUUUUAAAUCAUUUGUGUGGGGAUAUUAUGAAUGAAGAGACGGAUGGCACUGAUGGGCUGAUUAAGUCAGUCUGUACAAAACCAUCUAGUCAGGGUUCGUUGUGUUCUAACAAAAAAGGUCGGGCUUGAUUAUUAAUUAAUUGUUUACCAAUGAAAGGAAUCUUUUGGAACAACAAUGGGU